This 76-nucleotide transfer RNA is filed under the name Candidatus Peregrinibacteria bacterium. RNAcentral describes it as "tRNA-Trp". It matches the Rfam family "tRNA". Rfam says of the family: Transfer RNA (tRNA) molecules are approximately 80 nucleotides in length. Their secondary structure includes four short double-helical elements and three loops (D, anti-codon, and T loops). RNAcentral also lists the same sequence under 1 other name. Lineage: Bacteria; Candidatus Peregrinibacteriota. The record is from RNAcentral.
AGGCGCUUAGCUCAGUUGGUAGAGCGUCGGUCUCCAAAACCGAAGGUCGUAGGUUCGAUCCCUGCAGCGCCUGCCA